RNAcentral lists this ribosomal RNA (459 nucleotides) under uncultured bacterium. RNAcentral's name for it is "partial 16S ribosomal RNA". It matches the Rfam family "Bacterial small subunit ribosomal RNA", at positions 28 to 523 of the family's 1533-position model. The record is from RNAcentral.
GAUGAACGCUGGCGGCGUGCCUAAUACAUGCAAGUCGAGCGGUAAGGCCACUUCGGUGGUACACGAGCGGCGGACGGCUGAGUAACACGUAGGAACGUACCCCAAAGUGAGGGAUAAGCGCCGGAAACGGCGUCUAAUACCGCAUGUGGUCUCCGGACUAAAGCUCCGGCGCUUUGGGAACGGCCUGCGCAUGAUUAGCUUGUUGGUAAGGUAAUGGCUUACCAAGGCGACGAUCAUUAGCUGGUCUGAGAGGAUGAUCAGCCAGACUGGGACUGAGACACGGCCCAGACUCCUACGGGAGGCAGCAGUAGGGAAUCUUCCACAAUGGGCGAAAGCCUGAUGGAGCAACGCCGCGUGCAGGAUGAAUGCCUUCGGGUUGUAAACUGCUUUUAUCUGUGACGAUUAUGACGGUGGCAGAUGAAUAAGGAUCGGCUAACUCCGUGCCAGCCGCCGCCGUAA